Molecule: ribosomal RNA, 629 nt
Filed under: uncultured bacterium
Lineage: Bacteria
Description: bacterial SSU rRNA
Rfam family: Bacterial small subunit ribosomal RNA
Source: RNAcentral
AGUGGAGUGAUGAGUGCUGGAUAAAUUGCUAGCGGCGGACGGGUGCGUAACACGUGGGUAACCUGCCCCUAUCACUGGGAUAACACACUGAAAAGUGUGCUAAUACCAGAUAACAUAAGCUUUUGGCAUCAUUAGCUUAUCAAAGAAUUUCGGAUAGGGAUGGGCCCGCGUCUGAUUAGCUAGUUGGUGAGGUAACGGCUCACCAAGGCAACGAUCAGUAGCCGACCUGAGAGGGUGAUCGGCCACACUGGAACUGAGACACGGUCCAGACUCCUACGGGAGGCAGCAGUGGGGAAUAUUGCACAAUGGGCGAAAGCCUGAUGCAGCAACGCCGCGUGAGCGAUGAAGGCCUUCGGGUCGUAAAGCUCUGUCCUAUAGGAAGAUAAUGACGGUACCAUAGGAGGAAGCCCCGGCUAACUACGUGCCAGCAGCCGCGGUAAUACGUAGGGGGCAAGCGUUAUCCGGAAUUACUGGGCGUAAAGGGUGCGUAGGCGGUUUAUCAAGUCAGGGGUGAAAGGCUACGGCUCAACCGUAGUGAGCCUCUGAAACUGGUGAACUUGAGUGUAGGAGAGGAAAGUGGAAUUCCCAGUGUAGCGGUGAAAUGCGUAGAUAUUGGGAGGAACACCAGU